UAGGGAAUCUUCCACAGUGGACGCAAGUCUGAUGGAGCAACGCCGCGUGAGUGAAGAAGGGUUUCGGCUCGUAAAGCUCUGUUGUUAAAGAAGAACGUGGGUAAGAGUAACUGUUUACCCAGUGACGGUAUUUAACCAGAAAGCCACGGCUAACUACGUACACG
RNAcentral lists this ribosomal RNA (164 nucleotides) under uncultured bacterium. Its description in RNAcentral is "partial 16S rRNA". It matches the Rfam family "Bacterial small subunit ribosomal RNA", at positions 355 to 511 of the family's 1533-position model. The record is from RNAcentral.